UCGCUUUGGCAGCAAACAUCCUAAAGUUGGAAUGAUACACAGAUUAGCAUGGCUGCUGCCCAAGGGUGACAUGAAAAUUCAUGAAAUGUUCCAUAUAAAA
Small nuclear RNA from Cercocebus atys (sooty mangabey), 100 nucleotides. NCBI's taxonomy places the organism in Eukaryota, Metazoa, Chordata, Mammalia, Primates, Cercopithecidae. The record is from Ensembl.